This is a non-coding RNA of Acanthosepion pharaonis, 114 nucleotides long. Lineage: Eukaryota; Metazoa; Mollusca; Cephalopoda; Sepiida; Sepiidae. The record is from the annotation of a GenBank genome assembly.
UAUGGUCAAAUCAUGCUGGAAAGACUAGUUCUUGUUUGAUCACCAAAGUUAAACAGCAUAAAACCUGGUUAGUACUUAGAUGGGGGACCACUUGGGAACACUGAGUACUGUAAG